This 75-nucleotide transfer RNA is filed under the name candidate division CPR2 bacterium GWD1_39_7. Its description in RNAcentral is "tRNA-Thr". It matches the Rfam family "tRNA". From Rfam's summary of the family: Transfer RNA (tRNA) molecules are approximately 80 nucleotides in length. Their secondary structure includes four short double-helical elements and three loops (D, anti-codon, and T loops). The record is from RNAcentral. Lineage: Bacteria; candidate division CPR2. RNAcentral also lists the same sequence under 2 other names.
GCCGAUGUAGCUUAAUGGUAAAGCAGCGCUUUCGUAAAGCGAAGAGUGGCGGUUCGAUCCCGCCCAUCGGCUCCA